CGCGGCUCCGGAGGCGAUUAAGGUUGAGAAGAACGUCACUGGCAUGGCGGGUGAACUGGAUACAGCUGUCAGCCGGCGAGGCCAUUUUGUCUUCACCUGAGCAAAAGAUGCCAAAGUCCUAUUAGUCCUCAGAAACCGUCCUUACCAGGAGGACAAAGCAUGUGGCAUAGGCUGCUAAGGCUGCUGAGUCUUACCAAGGGAGCACUCUAAAAUGAGAAGUUUCUUUGAGUAUGUAACCAAACACACCGACAUUUCUCCGUGGUCAAAAGGGUCAAUCGCACAAUCUCAUUGGUUUCAAGGUUAGUGUGUGCAUGUGAGUGAAUCAGGACGGGGAGAAAGACAUGGCACAAGAGGCUGCCUCCUCCUCUCCCCAUCCUAAUUCAAGAUGGAGUGAGAGAGAGCGAGAGCCACUAGUAUUACGGUCCUAACCAGAGCUCCUUGAUCAUCUCUUUUGAAAAAGAAUGUUGAAGGACCCAUAAAGUUUAUUUAGAAACUCUCUCCUCUUCCUUCAUGGAAGAGGUCCUCAAACAUUUCUGGAAAACCCAGGCUUUCCUUCAACCAGCUUUCAACCACCAGCUGUCUUGUGGAUUUCCAGUUCCAGACUUUUGGAACCACAGGAAGCCGAGAUUUGCCAUUUCACCAUGACAAGUGGCAAUGACUCAUUCCAGACACAGAUUGAAACAAACAAAAACAGUUCCCCUGUGUCCACUGUGAGCUCAGAUUUGGGCUUUCCACCGUAAGCCUCUCCUUGGCCUGGAUUUUUAAAAAUCGCAAUGCAGUGGACUGCAUCCUUACGAAAUUCACGACUUUGUGAACUCCCCCUGAGUGUUACAGGGUGGAAGAACCCCCUAGAAUUUGGUGUGGAUUCUUCUCUUUUUACAGACCACUGACCUUUCCCAUCCAUUAGCGUAUCUUGCUAACAGCCCUGAUUUACUGUGGAGGAUACUGGGAAUAAACCUUGCCCAGUGUGCAACAAAAUCUUGGACAAACCUCAUCUACCAGCAGGGGUCCUAUCAAUGUCACUCACAAGACUCAACCCACAAAGCCAUAACUCAGAAACUUAAAAAACUCCCCCCCAAACAAACAAACAAACAA
Long non-coding RNA from Cavia porcellus (domestic guinea pig), 1095 nucleotides. RefSeq lists it as uncharacterized. The record is from RefSeq and is a predicted model, not a curated record. Lineage: Eukaryota; Metazoa; Chordata; Mammalia; Rodentia; Caviidae. The transcript has 2 exons.